AUGAGCCUAUUUCACAAAGGAAUCCUUAUCACUUCUAGGCUAAAAAGCAAUAAGGGUGUUCUGGAAAUUACUCUGAGGGAAUCCUAAAAACUACAGGUAUUUCCUCUGCAGUCCAGUUGUUUAGCUCCCUUUCCGACUCGUAAGGACGAAUAUCUGGCGAAGUUCUUCCUAGCGUCGCUUCUUCAUACACGGCAUGAAUACUCCCUAGCUCCGUGUUAAUACUUCUGACCCCUAGCAUUCCUUGAUAGACAAAUCCCCC
Molecule: long non-coding RNA, 259 nt
Filed under: Gossypium barbadense (sea-island cotton)
Lineage: Eukaryota; Viridiplantae; Streptophyta; Magnoliopsida; Malvales; Malvaceae
Description: long non-coding RNA (GBAR_LNC014753)
Source: RNAcentral